ACGGGAGGCAGCAGUAGGGAAUCUUCCGCAAUGGACGAAAGUCUGACGGAGCAACGCCGCGUGAGUGAUGAAGGUUUUCGGAUCGUAAAGCUCUGUUGUUAGGGAAGAACAAGUACCGUUGAAUAGGGCGGUACCUUGACGGUACCUAACCAGAAAGCCACGGCUAACUACGUGCCAGCAGCCGCGGUAAUACGUAGGUGGCAAGCGUUGUCCGGAAUUAUUGGGCGUAAAGGGCUCGCAGGCGGUUUCUUAAGUCUGAUGUGAAAGCCCCCGGCUCAACCGGGGAGGGUCAUUGGAAACUGGGGAACUUGAGUGCAGAAGAGGAGAGUGGAAUUCCACGUGUAGCGGUGAAAUGCGUAGAGAUGUGGAGGAACACCAGUGGCGAAGGCGACUCUCUGGUCUGUAACUGACGCUGAGGAGCGAAAGCGUGGGGAGCGAACAGGAUUAGAUACCCUGGUAGUCCACGCCGUAAACGAUGAGUGCUAAGUGUUAGGGGGUUUCCGCCCCUUAGUGCUGCAGCUAACGCAUAAGCACUCCGCCUGGGGAGUACGGUCGCAAGACUGAAACUCAAAGGAAUUGACGGGGGCCCGCACAAGCGGGGAGCAGUGGUUUAAUUCGAAGCAACGCGAAGAACCUUACCAGGUCUUGACUCCUCUGACAAUCCUAGAGAUAGGACGUCCCCUUCGGGGGCAGAGUGACAGGUGGUGCAUGGUUGUCGUAGCUCGUGUCGUGAGAUGUGGGUUAAGUCCCGCAACGAGCGCAACCCUUGAUCUUAGUUGCCAGCAUUCAGUUGGGACUCUAAGGUGACUGCCGGUGACAAACCGGAGGAAGGUGGGGAUGACGCAAACAUCUGCCCCUUAGACCUGGGCUACACACGUGCUACAAUGGACAGAACAAGGGCAGCGAACCGCGAGGUUAAGCCAAUCCCACAAAUCUGUUCUCAGUUCGGAUCGCAGUCUGCAACUC
RNAcentral lists this ribosomal RNA (966 nucleotides) under Bacillus tequilensis. RNAcentral's name for it is "bacterial SSU rRNA". It matches the Rfam family "Bacterial small subunit ribosomal RNA", at positions 341 to 1313 of the family's 1533-position model. Lineage: Bacteria; Bacillati; Bacillota; Bacilli; Caryophanales; Bacillaceae. The record is from RNAcentral.